UACGUAGGUGGCGAGCGUUAUCCGGAUUUACUGGGCGUAAAGGGAGCGUAGGCGGAUGAUUAAGUGGGAUGUGAAAUACCCGGGCUCAACUUGGGUGCUGCAUUCCAAACUGGUUAUCUAGAGUGCAGGAGAGGAGAGUGGAAUUCCUAGUGUAGCGGUGAAAUGCGUAGAGAUUAGGAGGAACACCAGUGGCGAAGGCGACUCUCUGGACUGUAACUGACGCUGAGGCUCGAAAGCGUGGGGAGCAAAC
RNAcentral lists this ribosomal RNA (250 nucleotides) under uncultured Clostridium sp. RNAcentral's name for it is "partial 16S ribosomal RNA". It matches the Rfam family "Bacterial small subunit ribosomal RNA", at positions 524 to 773 of the family's 1533-position model. Lineage: Bacteria; Bacillati; Bacillota; Clostridia; Eubacteriales; Clostridiaceae. The record is from RNAcentral. RNAcentral also lists the same sequence under 1 other name.